UGUCUGGUAGUUAAGAUAAAUAAUAGUGGAUUGCAAAUCUAAAGUGGCGUUUUAAUGCUCAGACUU
Molecule: transfer RNA, 66 nt
Filed under: Mytilisepta keenae
Lineage: Eukaryota; Metazoa; Mollusca; Bivalvia; Mytilida; Mytilidae
Description: tRNA-Cys
Source: RNAcentral